AGUUCACGGCAGCCUUGAGCCCUGGUGGUUCCUGGGUUGUCCGUGAACAUC
This 51-nucleotide non-coding RNA is filed under the name Oreochromis niloticus (Nile tilapia). The record is from miRBase by way of RNAcentral. Lineage: Eukaryota; Metazoa; Chordata; Actinopteri; Cichliformes; Cichlidae.